UGAAAACCAGAAUACGAUUAUCAAAUAGCUCAAUCAUACACUGUAACAAAGAGCAACAAUAUUGAUAAAUAAAGUCAAAUACAACUAUAUUAUUAACCAUACACCGUAUGAAAAAAUAUCAAAAACAGAAUCAUGAAGUCAUCACUGCCGCAAAGUCAUCAGAAAAUACAUUGUAUCAAAAAUAGAAUUUUGCAUGUUCGAAGUCAACGAGUCAUGAAGAGAACCCACAGAUACCGGAAUCUAGAAUUACAAACAAUGAAAAAUACAUUAUAUACAAGCUGUAUUCACUUGUAUAAUAGGAUCUAAGUUGUAUCCAAAAUGGAAAAUUUUCAUGUCCGAAGAUGACUCAGAUCUAUGAAAAUAAUAGAAUCUCAAAUGGAGAAGACGACUCAGAUCGCUACGAGGAAUUCCAAAGCAAUAUGUAGAAUCUGCUUGAAUAUAAAUUGAUUUUCUAUGCCGAAUCAUUUGGCAGCGCUUUAUGAGAGUAAUUGCUGAAAAAUAACUGAAAUAGUUAGCCGGGUAGUUCAAUGGUGAUUGUAUCACCGAAUAUUCCAUUUUCGAUUGCAUCUUCAUCGGAGGCAGCAGAAUCGGUCCAUCCGAUGUCCCAUUAACUUUAGAAGAGAAACUGGCGAAUUUAUAUGGAUCAGAGACAUGGAUCGGUUAUUUAAAGGAAAUAAAAAUAGGGGAAUCGCCAUUGGCUGCAGUAGUGACGUUAUUGACGGACUGAGAAGUUGGAGAAGGAGUAAAAUCUCUGGGAAGAGAGAUGAGGGUCGUAUCCAAGAUAGGGUUAAAAUAUCCCAUAGCGAGGGCAUUUGCUAUAAAGUAUAGCUAGAAAUUAUAAUUAUUUUAAAUUAUAUUUAUUUAUAAUAAAUAUAGUGUAUACGGUAUAUAGUGUAUACGGUAAGACAAGAGGGGUUGCUCUGAGGUUGUGAGUUCGAGUCUCCCCAAGAGCAAGGUGGAAAGUUCUUGAAUGGAAGGAUGCCGGAUAUCUAUUUGGAAACAACCUCUCACCCAAGGAUAGGGAUAAGGUCUGCGUACAUACUACC
Molecule: long non-coding RNA, 1046 nt
Filed under: Nicotiana benthamiana
Lineage: Eukaryota; Viridiplantae; Streptophyta; Magnoliopsida; Solanales; Solanaceae
Description: long non-coding RNA (NBEN_LNC003694)
Source: RNAcentral